RNAcentral lists this ribosomal RNA (497 nucleotides) under uncultured bacterium. Its description in RNAcentral is "partial 16S ribosomal RNA". It matches the Rfam family "Bacterial small subunit ribosomal RNA", at positions 28 to 507 of the family's 1533-position model. The record is from RNAcentral.
GACGAACGCUGGCGGCGUGCCUAAUACAUGCAAGUUGAGCGCUGAAGGUUGGUACUUGUACCGACUGGAUGAGCAGCGAACGGGUGAGUAACGCGUGGGGAAUCUGCCUUUGAGCGGGGGACAACAUUUGGAAACGAAUGCUAAUACCGUAUAAAAACUUUAAACACAAGUUUUAAGUUUGAAAGAUGCAAUUGCAUCACUCAAAGAUGAUCCCGCGUUGUAUUAGCUAGUUGGUGAGGUAAAGGCUCACCAAGGCGAUGAUACAUAGCCGACCUGAGAGGGGGAUCGGCCACAUUGGGACUGAGACACGGCCCAAACUCCUACGGGAGGCAGCAGUAGGGAAUCUUCGGCAAUGGACGAAAGUCUGACCGAGCAACGCCGCGUGAGUGAAGAAGGUUUUCGGAUCGUAAAACUCUGUUGGUAGAGAAGAACGUUGGUGAGAGUGGAAAGCUCAUCAAGUGACGGUAACUACCCAGAAAGGGACGGCUAACUACGUG